GGCACAAUUGCUGAGUCAUAUGAGAAGAGUAUUUUUUAUUUUGUGAGAAACUACCAAAUAAUCUUCCAAAGUACCUGUUUCAUUUUUGCAUUUCUACCAGCAAU
Molecule: microRNA precursor, 104 nt
Filed under: Marmota monax (woodchuck)
Lineage: Eukaryota; Metazoa; Chordata; Mammalia; Rodentia; Sciuridae
Source: RNAcentral